CGAGAUCUAAUUGGAGCUUGCUCCGGGAAGAUCGAGUGGCGGACGGGUGAGUAACACGUGAGCAACCUGCCUUUCAGAGGGGGAUAACGUUUGGAAACGAACGCUAAUACCGCAUAACAUCGUGGGAUGGCAUCAUUCUACGAUCAAAGGAGUAAUCCGCUGAAAGAUGGGCUCGCGCCCGAUUAGAUAGUUGGUGGGGUAAUGGCCUACCAAGUCUGCGAUCGGUAGCCGGACUGAGAGGUUGAUCGGCCACAUUGGGACUGAGACACGGCCCAGACUCCUACGGGAGGCAGCAGUGGGGAAUAUUGCACAAUGGAGGAAACUCUGAUGCAGCGACGCCGCGUGAGUGAAGACGGUCUUCGGAUUGUAAAGCUCUGUCUUCGGGGACGAUAAUGACGGUACCCGAGGAGGAAGCCACGGCUAACUACGUGCCAGCAGCCGCGGUAAUACGUAGGUGGCGAGCGUUGUCCGGAAUUACUGGGUGUAAAGGGAGCGCAGGCGGGGAGCCAAGUUGGAUGUGAAAUACCGCAGCUCAACUGCGGGGCUGCAUCC
RNAcentral lists this ribosomal RNA (552 nucleotides) under uncultured bacterium. RNAcentral describes it as "bacterial SSU rRNA". It matches the Rfam family "Bacterial small subunit ribosomal RNA", at positions 63 to 628 of the family's 1533-position model. The record is from RNAcentral.